This is a non-coding RNA of Meleagris gallopavo (turkey), 6562 nucleotides long. The record is from RefSeq and is a predicted model, not a curated record. Lineage: Eukaryota; Metazoa; Chordata; Aves; Galliformes; Phasianidae.
GCACAUGGUGAAGGGGUAUGAUUGGCCCAGGGAGCACAGGCACAUUGUUUGCACCUGUGCUCCGCACCUGACGAGAAGGGGAGGACCCAUGGUGGAGCCACCCUGGGCUCAUAUAAUAGCCAGCCACUGAAAAGAAAUCUUCUCUUAGAUCUACACCAGCUGGAAUUUACAAAACCCAGUUCCACUCAACAGCAAGAGGAACACACAGACCACAAGCUUUCGCCAAAGUCUCCCACCAAGAAAUUCAAUUUAAAAAAGUCAUGAUCAGAAUCCUAAGGAUGAAUUUGAAAACAACAAAAGAUGUUCUGGGGCAAAACUCUGGGACAGGAAAUAGCUGAGCCUGUUUGACACCACUGCAGCGUUAGACUCGCUGGAACAGCUGGGGCUCAUUACUUCAUUGGGUAUUCCUUGGCUCAGGCCAAACUCUCUUGGCUCUUUUUCACCUCUUUGGAUGCAUAGCUCCUAGAAAAAUGAGUCAAGAGCCUGUGUGUAUGAAUGCUCUUAAUAGCGCUGAUAAGCAUCACCUGGUGCCCCCCCCCCCAUUCUCUCCUCUCAAGGACUGCAUUACAUCUCAGACCCUGCCCAAGUUAUGCUAUAAAUGUGCCUGCUUAUAGCUCCAGCUGUGUUGCAGUAAUGCCUGGCAAUGGGCCCCUUUCAUCUUUUUUCAUUUGGCUGGAUCGUAAUUUAUGGACCGAGUUCCUAGGUGUUAGACCUGCCUUGAUGCUAUGAACUUGCCUGGUGAUUGUGUCUGACUCUGUCAGGGCUGACUCUCCCUUACUUGCUUGUGUUUCUGGCUUCAUAUGGGACCAAUCCUGUUACCAAACACUUGACUUGCAUCUGUCCCCCACCACUCCCUUGCAAAUUGGAAGUUACAUUGUAAGAGUGAAAACCAGGGACAGUUUGGGACUCCAGGAGAUGAAAGGCUGCAGUUUGUCUUAAAAGGGUAGAGGUGCUUCCAUUUCCUGACCUUCCCUCUGUUGCUCUUGUGAGGAAUUAAAUUAACCCAGACAGAACCAAGCAUGAUGAUUUUGGCUGUCACAUGUACAUGAAAUGAAAUUUGCCCUUUUCCUUAUUUUUGCAGAUGCAAGAAGUCCUGGCUAAAAUCAGGUGCUCAAAUGCAUAUUAGUGUUUACAUGUAUGGUAUGGGCAAGGAGUGCUACUGUGGCAUGGCUUGCCCUAACUAACCCCUGCCCGGAGAAAUGUAAAUAGCCUUCUGGCAGGAGAUACUGGGAUGCAGAUUCUGUGACUUUCUAUUAUAGGUGGAGGAAUGGAGAGAAGGAGGAAGAGCUGGAUAUUUUUCUGUUCGCUUUCCUGUGCAUAGCACACGUUUCUGCAUGGAUAUUCAGCAACAGUCAUUGAUGAUCGCAUUAGCAGUAAUGUCUCUUGAUGUUUGCAGUCCCUCUUAAGGAAGACAGGAAGUGAAAUACCGUGUGCAUACUCUCACCGUGAAGGUGAGAGGUGGGAGGCUGGUGGCAAGUGAGUAGGUAAUUAAGAGAUGCCUUCUGUGUGGAAAAGUUCCAGCCAUUCUGGCAUUUUCUGUCUGAGAGGAGCCAAUAAGCAGGUGCCCGUGGAGGAACAGGAGAGCAGACCAUUUCUGGAAUAACUCUUCUCUUGCUACAUUCUUCCUCCACAGUUCUGCUGACCUCCAAGUUAGAGACUUCCUGGUCAGGAAAAAGUUCUGUCUGAAGACUCCCAGCGUAUAUUUGCUGUCUUUCUGAGAAGCAUGUUAAGUACAUUGGGCCUACCAAGCACUGGGUGAUGUGACAUACAUAUUCUGAAUGUGUAUUGUGCAGGUGUGCCCUCUCUAUUUUUUCCUGUUGUUCAAGGGCUUUCCUUCUAGAGAUCUACCUAGGCCUGCAAGGGCUUGUUCAGAAAAAUAUGAUUAUGGUUAUGGUCCAAUACAACACCUCUCCCCAUCUGUAGCUCCUUCAUUUCCAUGAGGUUUGAAUUGUCUGUUUUCCUGUGCUUUGUGCUCUUCAAUGCGAAGGUACUGCAGAACUUUUCCAGCUGAUAUAUGUUUUCAUUUUCAGUUGAGCAUGAUUUCUUUUUACUGGGUAGAAUUGAAACAAUACAUUAUCUUGUACCCUAAUUUAUAUGUUCCUAGAAAAAUUGGUCUUCCAUGAGUGAUGGAAAAGUAACUCCAUUGCUUUUCCAAAUUGUCAGCUACAUCUUGCACAUCCCUACACAAUAACUAAAAGUCCAGCUUCCUUUCUGAUACUUCACUAAACUUCUCUGUGUAGGAAUUCUAAUUCCUGUGUUUUUCCCAUCCAAAUACCACUGAAGAUUUUCUUUCACUAGCUUCUGUAGACAAAAUCAGGACUAGAACAGUUAUUCUCUUGAUCUAGCUAGAGUAAGCUCAUAUAUUGAAAGCUAUUAGGUUAGAUGGGCUGAUUAGAUUAUUUGGUGACACGAAUGAAUUUUUAUUCAUUAUUUUAAUUUUUAUUCAUUGUUUGUGAAGAUUUUUGGCUUUGGUGCUCUCCUUCUCUUUCAGUAAAAUCCUACCAGACAACCAGACAAGUGGGGAGAGCAGAACUUUUCUGAAGUUGCACCAGGGGAGAUUGAGGCUGGAUGUUAGGAAAUACUACUUCUCUGAAAGUGUUGUCAAGCACUGGAGUGGGCUGCCCAGGGAGGUGGUGGAGUCACUGACCCUGGAGGAGUGCAAGGAACAUUUAGACGUUGUGUUGAGGGACCUUGGUUAGUGAGAAUUAUUAGUGAUAGGCGGACUGUUGGACUGGAUGAUCUUAUAGGUCUUUACCAAACUUGGAGAUUCUAUGAUUCUAUGACUGCCAUAGAGAUAGGUGGAGUUUCCAUUAUACUGUUUUUGCAAGAGUGGUAGAGACAAAGUCAUGGGAAUUGCUUGCAUGAAAUUUAUGCUUUGUGGACUAACAUAAGCAGGAUGGUAGUUCUCUGGAAUUCAUGUGUUGUUUUGGGGUGACAUAACGUGCUCUCAUCAGUCAUGGUCUGUGAGUGACCACCAUUCAGAUGGCCUCUUCCAUCCACAGAGAUGGAGCCUGAGGUUUGCAAUUUAACAGACAUUGGUGAUCUUCUUUAGUCACCAGUCUGGAGCCGGCCAAUGCUAUACUAAUACCAUUGGUUACCCAGAAACUGACAUCCUAAAAACCAAAAAUUAAUGAAUUCCCUGGGCUGGCUUAUGAUCACUUAAUAAUAUGCCAUAGAGUUCUGCUUUCUAAAGCACCAUGUACUUUGCUAAUCUGUGAUCUACUUUCAUUUUUCUCCUGAUAAUUUCCCAAUUGUUUGACUGGUGCAUAAUUUUUUUUGCAAAGCUUUCUGGCAAAAACAGAGCUAAGAAAGAUAGAUAUCAGAUGUGUUUCAGAAAAAUAAAAUCUGGCUCAUCUUUAUUCUAAUGCCUUGUAAGUAAAUAUAUAAUAAAAUGAUAGAUAAGGAAAAAUGGCUACUUUCUUUUUGGUAACAGUAAAGAAUGCUUUUGAAUUAAUUAUUUUCAUUUGUAUAGCAGUCUUCCUGUGCCUUAAAAAAAUGUUUGAACUGGGUUACUUUAUGUAAACUAAAAGAUGUUUCUGAGUUGAAUUUGAUCAGUGCUUAGAAUUCCACCUUAAAUACUCCAAAGAUGGCACUUGUUUAGGUUUCUGAAGAUGGGAAUAUGAUCUGCUAAAAAUCAGACAAGUGAGCAGAAACAAACUAUGACUUCUGCCCCAAGGGUAAUGGAGAUGGAGAUGAAUCCUGACAAGCACACACAUGACAAGACCUAGGCAGAGCAAGAACGGGUGACUCACAAAUUGUAGUGGCACGUUCUCUCCAAGGGCCUCAGUGUGCAGUAAUGCCUGAAAGAUCUCAACCAGGAUCACAUGAUGCAUGCAGUGGUUGGCUGACUGUUGAGCCAUAUAAUAAAACCCCAACAAAUUAAGUAUAAAACAGCCUCUGGUGAGCUGUAGCCCUAAUUAGAAAGAAAAUUAACAGGUAUUAGAUUAGCAGAAACCCCGCCAGUAAAGGAUGUAGGGGAUAUCAUUAAAGAGACAGAUUUUUGUGUGUGUUUUAUGUUCCUCUGAAGUUGAUCCCCUUUUUAAUUACUUCUGCCAUUAUGAGAAAGCUAACUGGAUUCUUUCUCUGAUGAGACCAGGACAGAGCCACAGAGAGGUUCAUUAAUCAUCUUGGAUGACAAAGGGAGGAGGGGGAGUUCUCUACCAACUACUUGCUCUUCUCUUCCGCGUAUGUAUCCCCCCACCUCCCACUGCUCUGUACACAUCAUGCCAUCAUUGGCAGAGUUGUUGCCAGCAUUCUCUUUACACAUCAGCACACAGUGUUCCCUGAUGUUAGAAUUUUUCUGUGAAAUGAACUCACACCUCAGCCUCAGCCUCAAUGGAACUAGAUAUUUCUUUCUUUUCCCACACUGGCCAUUUCAGUUAUGAAACUCAUUCCAAUCCUUUACAUCUGUUUGGUGUGCAAACCCUUAAUAUAGGAUGGUUUGCAGGCUCCCAAACUGCUUUUGUCUGCCUUCCCUUUUUAGCUACCCAUUUGUCCACUCCACUCUUCUUUUCUUGGCCCAGUCUCUUUCUUCUUUUUCUUUCUGCUCUCAUUGCAUCUUUUGCCCCAACUUCUCUUGCAUCCUUUACAGGUUGUCUCAUUCAAGCCAUUCUGCCCAGAAUGCAAGCCUUCAUUGCUUCUUGCUUAUUUCAUCAAAGCAGAGCACUGUUCCUGUAACCCCAGACACAUAGAUAUUGAAUGCAAAUCUCUGUACAAGUUCAGAUUUGAAAAAUCCUCAGGGCAGAGCAAAUGACACUGACAAUGGGAAUUAUCAGAGUUCUUUCUAAGUUCGUCAGUGAUCUUUUGCUAGCCCAUCCUGAGAUCCUGAGUUCAUGAAAGAGACACAAGAACUGCAUUCCCUAGAGUGGAUUCUGCAGCAAUCACUCAUACUGCCUUCUCAACCCGCAAGCAGACUGAUUGUCUAUGUCCUUGCCUAUUCUGCUAGGUGAAAUAAAGGACAUCAAAUUUCAUUUCGAAAAGUAGGAAGGUUCUCCCAUAUGCCUACUGGAACUCAACUGUAUGGCACUAAACACCUGUCCCAUACGCAGAGAUGUGACUUCAGUUAUAGCAUAGAACUCCUUGUUUCUCAUGCAGCGGCCAUCUGAUUAUGAUUACAGUGAAAUUACAGUCACACUUCUGAAUUUCAAAUUCUGCACUUCUUGCCCAUCUCCCAGCCCAAAACAGCACAUUUUACGUCAAAGAUGGGCUAUAUUUAAGAUCUCAGAGGAGAGGCCUUCUCUAAGAGCAGUCGGAGUUGGAGGAACAAGCUAGACAGGCUUGUUCAGAAAAGAGGCAGUUUUCACAUUGUGUUUAUAAACAUCCUUUGAGAAAAUCAAUUAUGGAAUUCAGAUAAAUGUCUGAACUCCUAAAAGGAGUGCUUGGCUCCCAGGUUUUCCGGUAAGAACUUCUCACAGGAAGUGUUUUUAAAAGUGUUAUUUCAGGAUGUAGUGAUACAUCCUAGUCUGGAUAAUUAUAUUUUGACAGCACAAAGUGCUCCUAUUCAAGAUCUAUAACUGUUCUUUAUUUUCCCCAAGGUGUGCCUUGUGCUGAUGACCAUCGUGUAUUUCCUUCCUGUUACAUGUGACUACAUUUCAUGAGUGAUGGCAAAAAUUAUGUCUGAAAGAUGGAGAGAUAUUGGCAAAUCUGAUGUCCUUUUGAAGCCACUACCCUAUAAGGCACACAUGGUAUGAGUUGGCUGACAGUAUUCUGGCAGACUCUGUAGACAGCUAUUGAAGUCAACUUUUGGCAAGGAUUUAGAGAUUUGAGUUGUUACCACAUGUUUUUUAUAUAGGUACUGUGGUUUAUUUUGACAUGCAAGGGGUGACAUAACACUGAUUUUAAAAAAGCUUAGGUUGUUACCACUUUACUUUUAAGAGCAUAGACAUCAAAGGAUGGCAAAUAUGUUAUGCAGUUUAAUGAGUUACCAUUUGUCACUGCAAAUCAGCUGAGGAGUGUUAGCUCAUUGAGCCUGGAUAACCUGAUUUCUUCUAAUCUUUUGUGUGUGUGUGUGUGUGUGUUAAGCAUUAUUACAUUUACUAAGCAAAAUAUUACAAAAUUAUCUUGUUAUUGAUAACUGAACACACCUAGAGUGGAUCAGCCAUCCUGUGAUAUUAAGUGCAAGUAGCAUACCUGUAUUCUUCCCUAACCCAAGCUCAUUUUCUUUUUCAAAUUUGAGCAAUGAUGACUGUACUUUUGUAUUUGAUUCCCUAUUCAUUUACUGUAUCUCAGCAAAGAAAUGAAUUAGACAAUUCCUUGUUCAGCAUACAGUCCAUAAUAUGCCAAUGUGAGGGCUCCAAUAAAUACUUUUAACCAUAAGCUAUUUCUUGCAUUUGUAUUUCAUGGAACUGGGUCAUAAACAUGAAUUUGCUUUCAUCACAUAUGAUGAUGUUAAUCUCUUUGUUUCUUCUUCUCCAGGCUGCACAUACACACAUGUACAUACAUGCGCAUGUGUAUGUAUGCAUACACACACUGUUUGUCACAAAUCAGUACAGCUGGUAAUUUUCAGUUCACCAGAAGCUCAGAAUAGCAGAGAAAUCGUUCAGUCAGGCUUAAUGUGGAGAAC